CAAGCAAAAGAAUGUAAAAGUUUAUUGGAAAUGUAAUUUGGAAUGUAAUUGUAUUUUGGAAGAAUCAUUCUUGUAUCAAUGUAAAGUGAGAAAAUGUAUGUAGAAUAUGAUUGUACCAACGUUGUAAUGAAAGAUAUGGAUCCCGAGGAUCUAACAGGUAAAUAACACCUAGAGGGGGGUGAAUAGGUGUAAAACGGCAAAAAAAAUAAACCUGAUGCAAAUUAAAAGA
This 229-nucleotide long non-coding RNA is filed under the name Ananas comosus (pineapple). Its description in RNAcentral is "long non-coding RNA (ACOM_LNC039031)". Lineage: Eukaryota; Viridiplantae; Streptophyta; Magnoliopsida; Poales; Bromeliaceae. The record is from RNAcentral.